CAGCCGCCUCCCCCGGACGCCAGGGCGUGUGCGGGGCUCGCGGGCUCCUGCGCUCCGGGGCUGUGCUUUUCUGUACCGCGAGUGUUCUGGUUGUGAAUUCAUCCAGGGUCCAGGAUGACGAUCCGACACCAAGGCCAGCAGUACAGGCCGAGGAUGGCAUUUCUCCAGAAGGCUGCCUCUUGGUCCUGAAGAAUCGGCAUUGCUUGGGCAGAAUGUCGGAGGGUGAAGAGCCUGGUACCCGGUGCAGAGGUGCACGGGCUGCAGUUAGCUGGGUCCACUCCAGCUCUGAGCCACGUAAGGUAAGGAAACUGAGGCUAGUGAGGGCCAACCCUGGAAGAACUGUGGGUGUGAUACGGCGAAGCUGGGCCCACCACAAUGGUGGAAACAUAGAGGACAGCAUGCAGUGGGAAGGAGCUUCCAUUUCUACGCUUCUGCAUGAGGAGGAGGGAAGGGACCUGGAGGAGAGCCUUGAAGCUGAGAUUGAAGGAUGCUGGGCUUCUGCCGGGUGAGGAAAGGUGGAAGGAGGACCCAGGCCAUGGAGGGGCGUGUGCCAGAGGGGUGUGCAGGUCUGGUGCGUCUGAGGCAAGCCGUUCGCUGUUGCUGAGCUUAUUAUAUAAGAGGAGUGUGCGGCCGGACAGGCAGGCAAACUGCCUUCAAAGGUCAUCUGAUUUUUCCCCAAAGAAGCCACUGAGGAAUUUCGAGCAGGUGACACCACCACCAGGAAACCAACAAGCAGAGGAGUUAGCUCAGAUCCAUCUCCUGGAAGAAGUACCAACUCAAAGAGUGGCAGAGUGGCUACACAAGAAGACUGGACACAAAGGACAAAGGACCUAUGGGCUAUUGCUAAGGCCUGGGGCCUCCCCCUGCGCUGUGCUGACGUGGUG
This 884-nucleotide long non-coding RNA is filed under the name Equus asinus (donkey). RNAcentral describes it as "lncRNA (ENSEASG00005030854.1)". Lineage: Eukaryota; Metazoa; Chordata; Mammalia; Perissodactyla; Equidae. The record is from RNAcentral.